RNAcentral lists this long non-coding RNA (1354 nucleotides) under Salmo trutta (river trout). RNAcentral's name for it is "lncRNA (ENSSTUG00000022327.1)". Lineage: Eukaryota; Metazoa; Chordata; Actinopteri; Salmoniformes; Salmonidae. The record is from RNAcentral.
CAUCAGUAAAAAUGACAAAGGUUGUUUGCACACAUAAAUCUUUAGGAAGCCUACAGAUGGGAAUACCAUUCUGAGGGCAGACAGCUUUCACCCCAAAAGGCUAAAAGAGAAUAUUCCAUAUGGCCAAUUCCAAAGAGUCCGCAGAAUUUGCGAUCAGGAAACAGACUAUGUUGUCAAAUCUGCUGAAUUGGAGAAUCGUUUCUUGAAUCGGGGCUACAGCGUCCAGGUCCUGAAAGAUGCAGGUAUAAGGGCUGGAUUACUUGACAGAGAGAACUUGUUGCGAAGGGGAGUGCCUCGUGAUGCAUCAGAGAGAGUGUAUUUUGUUACAAAAUACAGCACUGAAGCAGAGAACAUUAAAAGAAUCAUUAAAAAUAAUUGGGGAAUCAUCCAAAGUGAUACGCUACUACGCCAAGUCUUUCCUGAGCCACCAGUCAUAAGCUUUAAGAGAUGUCCUACCCUAAAGGACAAAUUAGUCCACAGUUAUCUUCCGGGUGACUCUCAAAAAACUUGGCUUGGCCACAAACCCAAGGGCUCUUUUAAAUGUAACCAGUGCAACCAUUGCAGAAAUAUUGCACAGAAAAAGUAUUUUGUUGAUACAGCUUCCAAAAUGGAGUAUUACGUCAAGCAUUUCAUUAACUGCAAAACCACUCAUGUCAUCUAUAGAUUGGAAUGUCCACAGUGCAAGGUGUUCUACAUUGGACGGACAAAGAGACGCCUUCAAGAUCGCCUAGCGGAACACAAGUACGCCAUACGGGUAGGCAAUGAAGACUACCCCAUGGCAAGGCACUACAAGUCCUUACACCAUGGCAACCCUGCCUCCCUACAAGCUAUGGGUAUUAAUCAUAUCCCGGCCUCUAUUAGAAAAGGGGACCGCCUUAAACAGUUAAACCAAAUGGAAAGUUUUUGGAUUUACAAACUACAGGCCACUAAAUACCCGGGUUUAAAUGAAGAUAUGGAUUUCUCACCCUUCCUGUAGGGUUGUGAUGGGUACAUUUGCUGUCAUCUAGUGGAUAUUUUGCUCAAUUGCCCUCAGCUAUGUUUAGACUCUUGUUGUUCAUGUUUUGCUGUGUUCUAGUGUACUAUGGAAUGUAUUGCUUUCUUAUUCUUGACACUUCGCCCAGACAUAUUUAAGGUUAGAACUACCUUUCUAAGUGUUCUGAUACUUCUAGUUUGGAGUUACAUUUUUAUGAUAACAUAGCUACAGCAUUUCACUUUAAAGUGUGUAUACUAUUGCUUACUAGGUGUGUCCAAUCAAUUUUAACCACUCCCCCUUCUAAUUAGGGUUAAUUGGAAAAGCUGUUAAACAGAGAACAUUGUAUUAUUUCUUUGUACACCCUGAUGAAGGCCAUGCAGC